Molecule: ribosomal RNA, 244 nt
Filed under: uncultured bacterium
Lineage: Bacteria
Description: partial 16S ribosomal RNA
Rfam family: Bacterial small subunit ribosomal RNA
Source: RNAcentral
AGAGUUUGAUCAUGGCUCAGGAUGAACGCUGGCGGCGUGCAUAACACAUUCAAGUCGAACGGGACAAUGGGGGCGUUGCCUCCAUUGUCUAGUGGCGGACGGGUGAGUAACGCGUGAGCAACCUGCCUAUGCGAGGGGGAGUAACACAGGGAAACUUGUGCUAAUACCGCAUAACAUAUACUUUUUGUCAUGGAAGGUAUAUCAAAGAAAAAAUACGCGCAUAGAUGGGCUCGCGUCUGAUUAG